RNAcentral lists this long non-coding RNA (6337 nucleotides) under Sus scrofa (pig). Its description in RNAcentral is "lncRNA (ENSSSCG00000042940.1)". The record is from RNAcentral. Lineage: Eukaryota; Metazoa; Chordata; Mammalia; Artiodactyla; Suidae.
GGAGUUCCCGUUGAGUCUCAGUGGUUAACGAAUCCAACUAGUAGCCAUGAGGUUGCGGGUUCGAUCUCUGGCCUUGCUCAGUGGGUUAAGGAUCUGGCGUUGCCAUGAGCUGUGGUGUAGGUUGCAGACGUGGCUCGGAUACUGCAUUGCUGUGGCUGUUGGUGUAGGCCUGCGGCUACGGCUCUGAUUGGACCCCUAGCCUGGGAACCAACAUAUGCUGUGGCAUGGCCCUAAAAAGACCAAAAAAAAAAAAAAAAAAAAAAGAAAUACCAAGCAAUCCCACUCCCAGGCAUAUAUCCAGACAAAACCAUAAUUCAAAAAGAUACAUGCACCUGUAUGUUCAUAGCAGCACUACUCACAAUAGUCAAGGCAUGGAAACAACCUUAAUGUCCAUCAACUGAUGAAUGGAUUAAGAUGUGGUACAUAUAUAAACAAUGGAAUACAACUCAGCCAUAAAAGAGAAUUGAAAUAAUACCAUUUUUAGCAACAUGGAUUCUCAUACUAAGUGAAGUAAGUCAGAAAGAGAAAGACAAAUACCAUAUGAUAUCACUUAUAUGUGGAAUCUAAAAUAUGGCACAAACGAACCUAUCUACAGAACAGAAACACCGUCACACACCUGGAGAAAAGAGUUUUGGCAGGAGAGGGAGUGGAAUGGAUUGGGAGUUUGGGGUUAGUAGAUGGAAACUAUUAUGUUUAGAAUGGAUAAGCAAUGAGGUUCUUCUAUGUAGCACAGAGAACUGUGAUAGAACAUGAUGGAAGACAAUAUGAGAAAAAGUACGACUGGGUCACUUUGCUAUACAGCAGAAAUUGGCACAACUGAGUGCAAGAAUACACUUCAGUCAAGGGUGUUCUCCAAGUGAAACACAGUUGGAAGAUAGAAAAGCAAUUCAACAAGUAGCAUGUGUAUGUGUUGUAUGUGGGUUUAAUAGAUUGGUUCUCUUGAUUCUUGGUGGUACUUUUACUAUUAGAUUGGCUUUUACAGUCAUUUAACGACCAGAAAUAAUUCCAAUAUUUGCAUUGACACAAAUGAUACAAGAGGAUGAAAAAUUUUACAGAAAUCUCUGUGUUUACAUAUAUUUAUAUAUGUGUAUACUUCGUAAUUUGUGUGAACUACUCACCCAUUUGAGCAAUAAUGAAGCUAAAUUAGGCAAUGAAAGGAAUGCAUUCUAUCAUAUUUAAGGCAAGGUCCUUGGUAUCUCUUGGCUGGUUUUCCUUUAUUUCUUAAUUACAUCCAUAUUAUGUUUUCAUGUAAAGAUGAGCUGAACAUACAGAUGGCCAAAAAAUUGUAAUGCUGUCUAAUGGAGUCAACACUGUUUCCCAUACAUACAUACAUUUAUGCCUUUUGAAACUGCCAUGUUUAAGUGUAGAAUGGAAAAUCUAGUUUUUGUGAUUUCUCACUUGAGGGUCACUUGAGGGUUUAUGGAAUGACUGGAGUCUUUGUUUCCUUUCUUGGCAUGUCCCCCUCAGGAUUCUCUGAAUUUCUGCUACAAGUGUAUACUUGAUGACAAUAAGGAUUAAUUUUUGGCAUGAACAUCCCAAUGGAUGCUGUCUCAUAGUUGAGGGGUACUGCACUCUGCCCUAAAGAAUUAUGACUAACUUCUAGCCAAUCCUAACCCUUUGUAGAACUUCAUCACUGAGAUUAGAUUCUUUGCAUUUGAUGCGAUCCGAGAGUGUGCAUUUUGCAGCUGUGGCAAACCGCCAUUUGUUAGGCCAGAUUCAGCCCACAGAUCAUUUUCUUUAAAUUUCUACAGGGCUUUCAUACAUUUUGUAAUACCUUAAGAACUGCUGCUGCACUCUCAUGUUUGUUUCUUAAAUCUUCCUAUUUGGGUAAGUCAACAUUAUUUAUCUGGCCCUGAAAUUCUUGGUACUUGAGUCUUCUCUGGUGCUAGAGGGGCUGUUGAAGGCUGCAGUAACAACAGAUUAUCAAUCUUACCUGCAAAAUUCUUCUUUCAGAGGGCUUUCAGGGUAUCCAUCGUUUAAGAAAUACCUCCUGGCUAUGCUGAUGUACAAGCAGGGUUGAGAACCAUUGUGAUAAUACUUUCCUGGAUAAGAGGAGCCAUUUGUCUCAUUAGAUGUAUUAACUAAACAAUAUUCACUAAUUCAAAGCUUAAACUACUGCUAUAGUUCUCAAAGGAAAAAAACCCUCAAAUAAACAAAACCAUAAAACCUGUAUUGAAUGAUUACUGUGUAUUCAGCCUCUCAUGUAUGUUAUGCUAUGUAGUCUUCACACAAAUGGAACAUUUUCUUGUUCUAAUCAUCUCAGUUUCUUGACCUUGAUCUCUAUGUUAUGUCCCUUUCCUACUCUCUUCAUGGGCUCAGAUCCUCACUCUGUCUCUUUACCCUGAUGUAUUUGCUUCAUAGAAAUUUAUUUUUCAACUGAAAUUAUUUUAUUUGUUAAUUUUUUGUGGCCUUUCUCCUGGAAUGAGAGCAGGACUUUGUUCAUGUUUGUAUUCCCUGGACCUAGAAUAGUGAAUGUUCCAUCAUCAGAACUGAGUAGAUAUUUAUUAAAUUAAUAAACAUCUGCUCAUUUAUCAUUAUCCUUAACUUCCUAUCUUCCUGUUGCAUCUUUUCUUUUUCCUUUCCUUUUGGUUAGAAAUUCUAAGACGUAUUUGAUGUCAAUUUUUUAGUAUCUUUAAAAUAUUGUUCAACCGAUUUAUUUAUUUAUUCUUUUUUUAGAGCCGCACCUGUAACAUAUGGAAGUUCCCAGGAGAUGAAUCAGAGCUGUAGCUGCCAGCCUACACUACAGCCAUAGUAAUGCCAGAUCCCAGCCACGUCUAUGACCUAUGCCAUAAUUGACGGCAACGCUGGAUCCUUAACCUAUGGAGCGAGGCCAGGGAUCAAACCCUAAUCCUCAGGGAUACUAGUGGGGUUCGUUACUGCUGAGCCACAACGGGAAAUCCCUGUUCAAUAUUUUGAUAUUUCCAAAAUAGUACCUCAGUAUUACUGUAGUUAUUAUCACCCAACCUGGAUAAUUGUGUUAUAUAGAGGUGAUUUUAAGAAGGAAAAAUUCAUGAUAAAAUUCUCUUUAAACUUUCAAUCAUACUUUUCUAAUUGUAGCUUUACAUACUUCACAAAGGUAUGGUGAUAAUUAACGUCUGUUUAGUCAUUUCAAAAUAAUAAGGCACCCUGCACCCCUAAAGGAAAAGUGUUCUAUAAAUGUACAUAAUUAGUAUUAUAGGUUUCUCGUUUGUAGAACACAGGGAGAAAAUACCUAUUCACAUUCACAAGGGUAUUAUUGAGAUUAAUUAAUUAAUGUUUACAAAGCAGCCAGAAUGUGGGGAAAAACACAUUUUCUUUACUAUUUAAAGUGCAUUUCAAAGGUAAAGAGGCAAAUUGUGUUUGCAGUUUAGAAUUAUUUGCUUAUUUACUUUGCAUGUUCAGAUAAAUUGCUGUUUUUAUGCUUGUUCUCCUCAACCAUACACUGGAUUCUAAUAUUCACUUCUUCUAUAUUUGAGCAGAAACUAUAGCCCUUUACUUUUUGUCUCUACAAAGUUCAUGUAACUGGUCAAUGUAUAUAUUAUUUCUUCUUUUCAAAGGUAGCUCAUUCUGAAAAACGUACAGGUUAUUUUAAACCUGCUUUAUUUUUCCUUUGUCAACAUGAUACACUUUAUUUUGUCCUUUCAGUAUGAUUUUAUGUAAAGCUAUUGCAUUUUGACUUUUUUUAUUUUUUUUUAUCCAGAUACGGAUUUGAUGCUACUGUUUCAGUUCUUUACCACGAAUGUGACAUGACUUCAUAGUGCUGCCUUUCUAUUGAGGGGGUAUGAAGGUGUAGGCUCAGAGAGAAUGACAGAGUAUAGUCAUGGUGUUUUCCUGCCGUAUUUAUUUAUUUCUAUUAUGCUGUUUGAAGUCUUUGAAAUUAAAACUAAGCAUUCAUGAUUUUUAAAGGGUUCCAAAUGUUAAUUUUGUCUCUAAAGCUUAUCAGAGUCUUCUACUUCCCUAUUCAAGUUUGCCUCUUCAUUACCUUCUUAGCACUGUGUUUUGAGUAGAUUACGGCAGGCUCUUCUCAGUGGAUAUUGAUCCUUUUGUCCUAAUUUAAUGCAUAUUACACAGCCAGUGAUUGUGUAAAGGCAUGGAGAUUACAUGAUUAGCUGCGGUAUCUUUAUACCAAUUUCUAGUUAGUUAACUGGUACCAAAAGGCCAGGGCACAGCCAGGAGUUCUAGUUAAAUUAGUAUCAAGCUGCCAUCUUAUUAUUUUUGCAUGAUCUCUUGUUUGGCAAAAAGCUUUAGAGAAAAAGUAAAAUUAUGCUUUUUAUUCUUGAAAAGAGAAAAUAAUUAAUCUGUUCUGUAUUUUUCUCCCAGACCCCCAGUUAUCCCUCCUUUGAUGACAAGUAGCUCUGAGAUUUUUUUUGGGGGGGGAUUAUUUUUUGUUUAGGAAAAAUUUUGCUCAUAAUAGAUUUAAAAAAAUUAGGGAAAGGUAAUAACAUCUUGAUGUGGAAAGAUCAGAUAUAAACUGAAUUAUAUAGUUUUAUGAAUGGCAUAUGUCCAUGGUGCAUCAAAGGAACACAAGGUUUGUCUGAAGCUUACUUAAGGGUUAUGCUCUUUGAGACUAGUAAAGAACAAGGGAACAUCACUCAGCUUCCCUCCUUCUACCCUCAAGAUACAAAAAUUAAAUUCAUUUCUUCUCUAAUACCUUAUCCAAUAAAUACAGAUAUUCUGAUCUGAAGUUAGAGCAUCUGGGUAAUCACAUUGUUGUGAUUGUUACAAGAUGUAUAAAACAUUAUUCUAUAAAUCAGCAAGAAACAAAGUCCAUAAACUGGUUAACUAACAGGUGCAUAGAAUAUAUUUGGUUUUAUACUAUCAUAAGGACCCAUGAAGAGAUGAGAUGACAUUUUUGAGGGUUAGAGUUGGAUUUGAAUUCUUUAGAGAUGAUGAAAUUUUUAGGUUUUCUUUUCCUCUCUCCAAACUGACAAAAUAUUUCACAAGUUAAGGGAAACAUUAAAAGUGUAAUGAAAACACAAUGCCCAAGACUGCAUAAAUGCAUAUCAUUUAUUUACAUUUCUAUAUUUUGCAAAGCUAAAUUAUUGGAUCUCUUUGUUGUUUUGACAGAGCCAUGCUGAGAAGUAACCUAAUACUUAUUUUGAGGUGCUUUUGGCUAGAACUGAAACUACAAGCACUAGAGGGUUGGACAAAUGCCUCUUUUAACACAGAGUUUUCCAAGAAUGUGCUUUGCUCUCUUAACCUUAAGAUUUAUUAAAAAUCAAUUUGUUAUUUUUAACUUGAACCAGUUUAACAGAAGGUAGAAAUGUGUGGCCACAUACAGUUAGAUAAAUGUUUGCAUCUUUACAAAUAGAUAAAUUGUUUUGUAACUAUUGCCUUGUUCUGUGGCAUAUACAGUUAUUCGCUUGUCUAGCUGGGAUGUUAUUAACUUAUUUAUAUUCAGUAAAAUAAUAUUACCCACUUCUGUAAUGAAAGGCACUCUGCUUUAGAUUUAGGUAUUGAUUUUUAAAAAAUGUAAAAUAGAAAUCAGUAUACACAUCAAUAUGCAACUUUGAUGAUGCUGUUGGACGUGUAUUUGUUUUAAAAAACUCCAGUUACAUUAUGUGAAGAUGAGUAUUUACAUGUGACCCAGCUUUGGGUUGAAGAGCCUAUGUCUGCUUUAACUCUUUGUGUCAUAGAUCAUAUUUACUUAAAUAGAAUGUCCCAUGAUUUGAUUACUAGAGAUCAGUACCGCAAUAGUUAGCAUAGUGCUGGAUGGAAUGAAAUAAUCUUUUGUUGAAUAAGUGGAUUGAAGAUAUGAGAGUAAAUUUAGAAGUCAUAUCAGAAGUUUGUCAUGAGGGGAAGAAAGUAUCGAAAUUGAAGUCUUUCAGCAAAUUUAGCAAAUGUUGGAGGGUUCAGUGUGUUGAAGUUCUCAUAGUAGAGAAUCACAAGUUUUACUGAGCUCUCUAUUGACCAAAUGUGAUACAUUUUUUAUGUCCAGGAAGUAGUCUUCCUAUUCAACUGGAGGAAUAAUGCUUUAACUAUGUAUUGAUAAAUGAUUAGCUCUUGUUUUACCAUGAAUCUUGUGAUCUCUACCUCUUGUUCAAGCAGUUAAUCACAUACUGCCUUGCAAUGUUUCAUGGGUUGGGUUGUCCCUUUGUAUAGUUAUUUAGCUUUUCUAUUGUUUAUGACCCCAUGUAGAGCAUAUCCACAAAUAAAUUAUCAAGGCAAGGAAUAAAGUAUCCAUAUGUGUGGUGUGUCUGUCCAUGAUUGCAUGCUCUGCACAUCAAAAGUAUUGCAGAUUUGAUAGCAGAAGACCCAGUACUAUAAAAUAGGAUAGGACUGCAUAAUAUACAUUAAAAUAGUUACUAUUAUACAUUUAUAAGAAAGAAAAUAUCAGAUAAGCAGAUAAAAGUUGACC